RNAcentral lists this transfer RNA (73 nucleotides) under Pangasianodon hypophthalmus (striped catfish). Its description in RNAcentral is "tRNA-Glu". The record is from RNAcentral. Lineage: Eukaryota; Metazoa; Chordata; Actinopteri; Siluriformes; Pangasiidae.
UCCCUGGAGGAUAAGUGGUUAGGCCACAGCACUCUCACCUCUGUGGCAUGGGUUCAAUUUCCCAGCCAGGGAA